Molecule: small nucleolar RNA, 119 nt
Filed under: Macaca nemestrina (pig-tailed macaque)
Lineage: Eukaryota; Metazoa; Chordata; Mammalia; Primates; Cercopithecidae
Description: Small nucleolar RNA SNORA63 (ENSMNEG00000012522.1)
Source: RNAcentral
AUGCAGGUACUGUUAAAACUGAAGUGUUUUAUGGUCUUUUCCUCCUGUUUAAAGCAUUUGGUACAUAAGUAUCUCUAACUCCACUCCAUAAUAAAACGGAGACGCCUGGUCCCCAACAU